UACGAGGGGGGCGAGCGUUGUUCGGAAUUAUUGGGCGUAAAGGGUGCGUAGGCGGUUUGGUAAGUCUGAUGUGAAAUCUAUGGGCUCAACUCAUAGUCUGCAUCGGAAACUGCCGGGCUUGAGUGUGGGAGAGGUGAGUGGAAUUCCUGGUGUAGCGGUGAAAUGCGUAGAUAUCAGGAGGAACACCUGUGGCGAAAAGCGGCUCACUGGACCAUAACUGACGCUGAUGCACGAAAGCUAGGGGAGCAAACAGG
Molecule: ribosomal RNA, 254 nt
Filed under: uncultured bacterium
Lineage: Bacteria
Description: partial 16S ribosomal RNA
Rfam family: Bacterial small subunit ribosomal RNA
Source: RNAcentral